RNAcentral lists this ribosomal RNA (440 nucleotides) under uncultured bacterium. RNAcentral describes it as "partial 16S ribosomal RNA". It matches the Rfam family "Bacterial small subunit ribosomal RNA", at positions 338 to 795 of the family's 1533-position model. The record is from RNAcentral.
CCUACGGGAGGCAGCAGUGGGGAAUAUUGCACAAUGGGGGAAACCCUGAUGCAGCGACGCCGCGUGAGUGAAGAAGUACUUCGUUAUGUAAAGCUCUAUCAGCAGGGAAGAAAAUUACGGUACCUGAGUAAUACGCCCCGGCUAACUCCGUGCCAGCAGCCGCGGUAAUACGUAGGGGGCAAGCGUUAUCCGGAUUUACUGGGUGUAACGGGAGCGUAGACGGCAGUGCAAGUCUGGAGUGAAAGGCGGGGGGUCAACCCCCGGACUGCUCUGGAAACUGUACGGCUGGAGUGCAGGAGAGGUAAGUGGAAUUCCUAGUGUAGCGGUGAAAUGCGUAGAUAUUAGGAGGAACACCAGUGGCGAAGGCGGCUUACUGGACUGUAACUGACGUUGAGGCUCGAAAGCGUGGGGAGCAAACAGGAUUAGAUACCUGAGUAGUC